This 3618-nucleotide unclassified non-coding RNA is filed under the name Monomorium pharaonis (pharaoh ant). RNAcentral's name for it is "thyrotropin-releasing hormone receptor, transcript variant X2". The record is from RNAcentral. Lineage: Eukaryota; Metazoa; Arthropoda; Insecta; Hymenoptera; Formicidae.
AAAAUGUCAAACAUUUUCGAACAAUUGGACUUUCCUUAAUCUAUCUAGAAUUAAAAAGCACGACAUGCCUUUCUCUCGCAAUUAUCCUUCGAUGCUGUGAGACGUAUAACGGCGUGACCUACGCUGCUGGCGACGUCGAUGUCAGCGGUGUCCGUCGAGACGCCGACAGGAUCUCUACAAAGCGCAUGCGGCGAAACUUUUCGACUGGCACAGAUGCGAUCGCACAGUGGUCCGCUCCCCCAGUUUAUCCGACGACGUUUCUCAAUGCACGACGCGUAUAUUUUCCUACAUUUCAUGGUCCUAAUUAAAUACAAAAAUUACGAAAUAUACUUCUUACACGCGUAGUGUCCUGUGGAUCGCAUUCAAUAACUCGGAGGCUUUCUCAAUGGAGGGUUGAUUCUACGUUAAAGCUUACAUAAAUAAUUACUUUGAUGGGAAGAAAUAAUCAAAAGGAAGAUACGUUAUAUCGCCAAUCAACGUGAACAUUUUACGCGUGGUGACAAAUGAGAAGAUAAGAAAUGAUAAAAUUAAUGAUAAAAAUAUGUGUAUAAAAAAUCGAUAUAAAUGUUCUUGUUUUCUAUAACAUAUGGCAUUUAAAGGAAUUACUGAUAAUAUUAUAACUUCUCCGUUUAAAAUUUAAAGAAACAUUCUUUUAUCCAAAAUGUAUUGAACAAUAAAUAUUUCGUGCAUUAAAUGAAAUGCAUAACUUAGUCAUUGUAUAAUUUAAUUAAACGAGCGCAACAUUAGGCAUUUAUUUAAGAAAGAAUAAAGAAUCUGUGUCGAACAAAACUUAUUAUAGUGCUCAUUACGUACAAUUCGUACCUAAACGCAUCUACGCAGGAUACGUGAUUCAUGUAUUCAUCCAUGACUUUGACAACUCUCCGUCAAAUGUGCAAUGUAUGUGACUAUCUAACAAAUUUUAUCAAUGUGAAUUAUGCACUACGAGAAACAUCUGGGAAUUCCCAUUGGACAAUCAUUUUGCCUGGCAUUCUAUUCGAGCAUUCCAUACUCUGUGAUUGACACUGGCCUGGUCUAUAUCAUCGACGUUAUACCAACGAGUCUGGAAAAUGGCCAAUAAUAUUGCAAUGUGCUUUUUAAACUGACGUAUUUCACGACCGACUGUGUUUGCUCGAACAGCUUCUUGAUACAACAGGCAUCAAAGAUAGUAUUUUUUCUGUGAAUAUAAUCUCCAGAGCAAUCAUGUUCGUGCUUCAAAAACUAUCGAGUAAAGCUUGGGGAUGUCAUCAGAUAUCGACGACGAUUGACGGCCUGUCACGAUUUCGAAGAUCGGCAUCGCCGACGGAUUGGUCAAAUCUGACGUUCUACGAUUACCAAAAUUACAGCCACGAACUAAUUUUCGAGGAAUCGGAGAGCUUUUGCCAUUCGCUCUACUUCCUUCUGGAUUUCUGCCACUUGUACUACAUACCGUCCAUCAUCUUACUGGGUUUGGUGGGCAACCUGUUGUCGUGUGUGGUUUUCCUUAAGACACAUCUAAAACUGCGCAGCUCUAGUUACUACUUGGCGGCAUUAGCCACCGCUGAUUUUAGCUUUCUCAUGUCUCUGCUUCUCGUGUGGCUUAACAGUACAAUUGGAUGGAAAGUCUUUAACAACAAUGGCUGGUGUGAAACUUUGGUGUACGUCAGCGCGGUUUGUAGUUCACUUAGCGUUUGGCUAAUCGUUGCCUUUACUGUCGAGAGAUUUAUCGCCGUGCAAUAUCCGUUACAUCGGCCGCACAUGUGCACCGUAGCGCGUGCAAAGACAAUUAUUUUAGUAUUAACGAUUCUUGCUUUGGCUAGCCAUUCAUACUCCUUCAUUACCGCCGGGGUGGUGAAAAACGCGGGCGGCGACGAAGUGUGCGAUCUGAAGAUUGAAUACCUGGGGACCAUGCAAAUUAUUAGUAUCAUCGACAGUAUAGCGAGUUUGAUUGUGCCGCUUGUACUUAUCAUCGUGAUGAAUACCAUGAUUAUGAGAAAUCUUCUGAAGUUUGGCAGGCGGUUCAACCAAGAGCCCGGUUAUACUACAAAUUGUUCUAACAGGGAAAAAUCUGACAUCAAUCUCAAUCAAAUCCCGAGUGCCAAUAGCAGCAAUAACGGCGACGGCGGAAAUAUGAACCUAGUUUCACUCGUUGGCACGAAUGGAACGCGAAGACCACCUUCCCAGCAAUCAUCAUUUCACUCGUCCAAAAACCAUUCCCGGCAUCAACCUGCAUCUGCUCCGCCGUCGACACCGCGGAACGUCUGUCAGAUGACCGAAAUAGAAGCCCCGUGUAUACAUGUUAGGUCAUCUUGUCGGAAUCUGGGAUCGACCAGAUUCAAUCAAGAGAGCAUUACUAAAAUGCUCGUGCUCAUUAGCACGGUCUUUAUAUUACUUAAUUUACCAAGCUACGUAAUUCGCCUAUGCGUGUUCUUCUUCACUCUGGCAAAGAAGAAUACACCAGAGACGCUUUGGUGUCUUCAACAGUUCUUCAUGCUCCUCUAUUAUACAAACUUCAGCAUCAAUUUCCUUCUGUACGCCAUGUGCGGCAUCACGUUCCGUCGAUGUCUUGAGCAGAUACUGCGCAGAAUCCUAAAGAGUAUGACUCGGUAUCACUGCAGUCCACAAAGAACGAGGCGAACGGAUCGACCAUGGGACCGACUCCGGAACGAGUGGAUCGCGAAUUAUUCAAUUAAAUGUGGUGGCAAUCCUGAGUCUGAUCUUAACCGGAUUUAGCGCAGUCUUGGAUCUUAUUUGAGGGACAAGCACGGGACGAAGUGGUUUCGGAAUAAAAAUAGCAUCGCGAUUUUAAUUGCGUGCGCGUUUGCAGCGGCGUUGGCGGCUGCAUCCGCCGUUGUUACACCGGCCAUCGUCUUCCUAUUGGUACAUAUUCCGACAAUUUAGCGUGCGCACCGUAAAAGGUCUUGCGACGCCGCGUUCUUACUUCACGGACCGAGAAGAGAACAACAGCAUCGACACGGAACACCGUUAACCGAAGCCGUGCCCGGGAGAGGAAGGUCGCGAACGAUAUCUACAACAUGCUGAUUCCGCAUGAACGAACAGAAAUAUACGGAUGGUUUUCUUUUUCCCUUGCUCACUCGCCAAUCGUCUAACCGUUUCGUUCAACUCGCGGGGAUAUUUAUGACCCAGGAAACAAAACGGCAAGUGCACAGUAGAGGCUCAUUUGCAAGAGCCACCUAAAUCUAAACUUACGAGCGCGUGAACGCCUUGUAAUGAACUCGGCUUUCGAAUGACUACUGCGCCUCGAUUUUAUCGAUUUCGAUGCACCGCUGAAUCAACUUGCUCUCUUCGUUUUAUUCGUUCAGGAUAUAUAUGUCUCUCAGUAUCAUGUUUUAUUAUUUUAAUAAUACCAUUGAUAAUAAUUCCUAAUCUAUAGAAUAUCAGCUGGACGCUAUAAUAUUUCUAUAAAACUUUUAGUACAAAAUAUUUCAUUGAUGAGUAAAGACUUUAAAAUAAUUAGUAUCAAGAAUUUAGGUCGCAAAAUGGAAAAAUAAAAUUAUAAUCCGAAAUGAGAAAUUGAUGUAUACAGAAAGUUUUUAUGAGUAACUAUGAUCUAUAAAUAAUUUAUGGAGCUAGCUACAAUAAUAAGUGUAUAAUCGAUUAAAAUCACGUGACAAAUUAAAA